GACGAACGCUGGCGGCGCGCUUAAUACAUGCAAGUCGAGCGAGAACCAGGGCUUCGGCCCUGGGGACAGCGGCGAACGGGUGAGUAACACGUGGGUAAUCAACCCCCGACACCGGGAUAGCCCAGGGAAACUUGGAUUAAUACCGGAUGCCCCAUCUGGCUUUCGAGCCGGCUGGAAAAGGGUAGCUUCGGCCUCCGGUCGGGGACGAGCCCGCGGCGGAUUAGCUUGUUGGUGAGGUAAAGGCUCACCAAGGCGACGAUCCGUAGCUGGUCUGAGAGGACGAUCAGCCACACUGGGACUGAGACACGGCCCAGACUCCUACGGGAGGCAGCAGUAGGGAAUCUUGCGCAAUGGGCGAAAGCCUGACGCAGCGACGCCGCGUGAGGGAAGAAGGCCUUCGGGUUGUAAACCUCUUUCAGGAGGGACGAAGCCACUCGGGUUAAUAGCCUAGAGGGUGACGGUACCUCCAGAAGAAGCCCCGGCUAACUACGUGCCAGCCGCCGCAGUAA
RNAcentral lists this ribosomal RNA (509 nucleotides) under uncultured bacterium. RNAcentral's name for it is "partial 16S ribosomal RNA". It matches the Rfam family "Bacterial small subunit ribosomal RNA", at positions 28 to 523 of the family's 1533-position model. The record is from RNAcentral.